Zingiber officinale is the source of this 3262-nucleotide long non-coding RNA. RefSeq lists it as uncharacterized. The transcript is spliced from 3 exons. NCBI's taxonomy places the organism in Eukaryota, Viridiplantae, Streptophyta, Magnoliopsida, Zingiberales, Zingiberaceae. The record is from RefSeq and is a predicted model, not a curated record.
GAAGAACUCGUAGCGACGAAGUGGGGGUGGUGAUUUGAUUUUCCACAGCGAUGGUUAAGCUUUUGAUCUCUGCUGAUGCAUGCCUCUCCUUAUUUGAUAUCUUGGAGAAGGAGUCCUUCGAUCUCCUUUGUGGUUGUUGGUUGCUGCAACGAUUAAGGUUCAUGAGCUUCUCGGGAAGACGAAGGCGGAGCUGCAGAAUCAGUUGAAGGACCUGGAGAUUGAGCUCUUCCUCCUCCGCGUCGCUAAGGUGACCGGUGUGGCGCGCCCAACAAGCUCUCGAAGAUAAAGGAUGCGAGACUGUCAUAGCGCGUGUGCUUACUGUGGUCUGACAGAAGCAGAGAGCUGCGCGGAGGGAGGCUUACAAGAAUAAGAAGCUUCUUCCGUUGGAUCUCCGCCCCAAGAUGACUCGUGCCAUCCGCAACCGGCUCAAAAGCAUCAGGGGUUUCAUUGUGCCCUUGAUUAGGCAACGUGCUUUGGCAUGCCAUUUCUCACACGUGAGUCAAGAUGCUAAUGCCGAGCAUCAUUUGAUAUUUAGAGUGUAUGUAAUUGUAUUUUAAGUGAUUAUUCACUUUCUAAUCUGUUGUUUAUCUAGAGUAUAUAUCCAUGCUUCCCUUUUUUUGUUGAUUGUUGCCCACAGGGAGCAAAUUCAUGAUAAUUUUUUUUUGCUUGUUAUAUGUUAUGUAUUUUUAAUUGGGUAGCAAAUCCAGCACAUUCUUAAUAGUAUCCAUGACACUUUUUUUGCUUGAGUUUUAUGUUUGUCAUUUGUGAUUUAUCAAUUUUAAACAUUGUUAGGUAAGAAGCUAAAAAAUUAAGAUAAAUUUACUACAAUUUAAAUAACCUAAUUAUUGAAAAAAAUAAUCAUAUGGCUUGCGUGAUCAUCAGAGAUACAAAGGAGUCAAAUUGAUAGAUUAUGUCAUGUGGAAUUAAUAGUAUGAAGAAGAAAAAUGAUAUGCUCAAGGAAAUACUCAAGGAUAAACACAUAAAAUGAUGGGACCCACAAAAAAGUGAAAUAGUAGGCCAUGAAUUUAUGUGUCAAUCUUUGAGUAUUUCCUUGAGAUUUUUCCUUGCGCAUAUCAUUGCUCUAUGAAGAAUUAGUUAAAAAAACAACCCUUAGAAAUAGAUUUUCUAAGGAGAUUUUUGCGAAGUUGAAAGUAUAAAGUAUAUGCAUGAAUUUAUUGUAUAUAAAUGAAUGCUAGAUUUAUUAAAUCUCAGUACUUUGUUCUAGGUUUUGAAGAUAUCCUUAAUUAUAUCAGAAACUGUACUCAACAAUCAUUUGAAUUUAAGAUCUAUAGCAAGAACCAAAUUGUUAUAAAAGAUGUGCGAAGAUUCAAUUUUAUUGUGUUGUGAAUCUUAUUUCUGUUGUUGCCUUCAUUAAUGUGCUUGAGAAGGUCAUUGUUGUACCUUAUUCACUCCAAUCCAAUACUCGUUUGCUCAUCAUUGUUGUAUUGAAAGAUGGAACACUGAGAAUGUGACUUGUUACUUAUUAUCUAAUUGUUAUUCUUGUGCUGUUUAUCAGCUGCAUAUGAAAAGGAUAGUCACAUUUUCUUGGAUCGUUUGCCAUCUGUCCUGCGGCAUGUAAAUUGUUGAUCUCUGCUCCAUCUUCGGCACUGUCAUCCGUAGUACAUCCUCACAAUAUGUUCUCCAAUGCUAAUCCUCUAUUUUCAUUGCCUCUUUGAGUAGCCAUGUGGCGGCGAAAGCCCUAGUACCAUCUGGCUUAGUUAGGGGGCGCACAGAAAAGUUAAGUUUCUUCCUUUGAAGCUUUUGUGGGGAGACCAUCACUCAACUCCAUGUGGUAUCCCCCAAUCUGCCUUGGACAUUAUUUUUUUUUAAAAAAAACUAAUCCUGUAUUUAGCGUUUCAGCACAUAAUUAUCAUCUGUUAAGGACUAGCUGGUGUUUCCUUGGUAAGAACUAACCCAAUGGCAGCAAAAGCCCUAGUACCAUCUUCUCUUUGAGUAGCCUUGUGGCAGCAAAAGCUCUUCUGCCAUCUGGCCUAGCUAGGGGUGGACAGAAAAAGUCAAGGUUUCUCCUUAUGGCACCUUUUUGAGGGGACUCCACUUAUCUUCGUGUGGUUUCCCCAAGCAGCCUCAGAAACACUCAGAUGGAAAAAAAAAAUACAAUUUUUUGUAUGAGUUUUCCCCCUGCUUUUUCUUUCAACAGUUUGUCUCGUUGGUAGGAAACAUGGCCUUGAGGAUUAGGAUGUUUUACCUUGGUCGGGAAUUAGUCCUGUGUUUUCAUUGCCUCCUUGAGUAGCCAUGUGGUGGCGAAAGCUCCAGAGUGCCAUCUGACUUAGUUAAGGGGUGCACAUAAAAGGAAGGUUUCUUCCUAUGAGGCCGUUUGAGGGGACUCUCACUCAUCUCUCCAUGUGGUAUCCCUCAAGCAGCCUUGUACAUAAUUUAAAAAUAAGACACUAUUCUUGCAUUUAGCCACUCAGUUCUUAAUUUUCAUACGAUUAUAACAUUGUUAUAUUGUUAUGAUGCUAUUUGGGGUUACCUUCUCAUCUAUUGAGUGCUCAACUGAGGGCUUCGGCCUCUGGUUGUAACUGGAAAUUAAUAAGCCGGUAGACUGGAAUCAAAAGUGCCAGUUUCUUGGAUUGAAACCAAUUGGAUUUUCUUUUCCAUGCAGGCCCUGAAUAUAGCAAUUUUCUUUCGUGGCCUAGAAAUAUUUUAGUAUAGUGAACAAGAAAUUUUCCAGCAAAUGUGCCUGUGUCUGGAUUUUUUCCCCAUUGUUGUUUGUUUUUCAUUUACAAAAAAAAACUAACGUUCGAUUCCAAACAACUGCAAGUACUUCUUCAUGUCACGAACUAUGCACUUGAUCCAUUUCUUAUCACUAGGAUUUGUUCAAAAAUUUUUGGCUUGUUUAUCACUAGGAUUCCACUUGUUGAUCCAUUUCUUGUUCGUUGAUAUGUUUGCACUUGAUCUGAUUGAUCACUCAUUUUUGGAGAGGAGAUUCUAGUUUUGUGGAAAGCUUCUCCGUACCUGCCACAUCAUUGUUCUUCACCAUCCUCCCGAUGACCCCAACGAAAAGAUCCAACACCAGUAUUCUUGCAGCUGGUAAAAGUUUAGUGUCUUUCCCAUUGGAGAUUCACUUGAUACGUGGCUAAAUUGGAUCCAGUGCAUGAUCAAGUAAAUGUAAUAUUUUUUUAUAUCGUGUAAAUUUCGUUUAUUAAUUUUUUUUUACGCUUCUUUUCAUAUAUUCGAUUAAUUUGUUUGACGUCUGUCACAUUUUAAUAAAAAAAAGCUCUUUUAUUUUUAUUUGUUUUAA